Molecule: ribosomal RNA, 1343 nt
Filed under: uncultured bacterium
Lineage: Bacteria
Description: 16S ribosomal RNA
Rfam family: Bacterial small subunit ribosomal RNA
Source: RNAcentral
GACGAACGCUGGCGGCGUGCUUAACACAUGCAAGUCGAACGGAAAGGCCCUGCUUUUGUGGGGUGCUCGAGUGGCGAACGGGUGAGUAACACGUGAGUAACCUGCCCUUGACUUUGGGAUAACUUCAGGAAACUGGGGCUAAUACCGGAUAGGAGCUCCUGCUGCAUGGUGGGGGUUGGAAAGUUUCGGCGGUUGGGGAUGGACUCGCGGCUUAUCAGCUUGUUGGUGGGGUAGUGGCUUACCAAGGCUUUGACGGGUAGCCGGCCUGAGAGGGUGACCGGCCACAUUGGGACUGAGAUACGGCCCAGACUCCUACGGGGGGCAGCAGUGGGGAAUAUUGCACAAUGGGCGGAAGCCUGAUGCAGCAACGCCGCGUGCGGGAUGACGGCCUUCGGGUUGUAAACCGCUUUCGCCUGUGACGAAGCGUGAGUGACGGUAAUGGGUAAAGAAGCACCGGCUAACUACGUGCCAGCAGCCGCGGUGAUACGUAGGGUGCGAGCGUUGUCCGGAUUUAUUGGGCGUAAAGGGCUCGUAGGUGGUUGAUCGCGUCGGAAGUGUAAUCUUGGGGCUUAACCCUGAGCGUGCUUUCGAUACGGGUUGACUUGAGGAGGGUAGGGGAGAAUGGAAUUCCUGGUGGAGCGGUGGAAUGCGCAGAUAUCAGGAGGAACACCAGUGGCGAAGGCGGUUCUCUGGGCCUUUCCUGACGCUGAGGAGCGAAAGCGUGGGGAGCGAACAGGCUUAGAUACCCUGGUAGUCCACGCUGUAAACGGUGGGUACUAGGUGUGGGGUCCAUUCCACGGGUUCCGUGCCGUAGCUAACGCUUUAAGUACCCCGCCUGGGGAGUACGGCCGCAAGGCUAAAACUCAAAGGAAUUGACGGGGCCCCGCACAAGCGGCGGAGCAUGCGGAUUAAUUCGAUGCAACGCGUAGAACCUUACCUGGGUUUGACAUGGAUCGGGAGCGCUCAGAGAUGGGUGUGCCUCUUUUGGGGUCGGUUCACAGGUGGUGCAUGGCUGUCGUCAGCUCGUGUCGUGAGAUGUUGGGUUAAGUCCCGCAACGAGCGCAACCCUUGUUCACUGUUGCCAGCACGUUAUGGUGGGGACUCAGUGGAGACCGCCGGGGUCAACUCGGAGGAAGGUGGGGAUGACGUCAAGUCAUCAUGCCCCUUAUGUCCAGGGCUUCACGCAUGCUACAAUGGCUGGUACAGAGAGUGGCGAGCCUGUGAGGGUGAGCGAAUCUCGGAAAGCCGGUCUCAGUUCGGAUUGGGGUCUGCAACUCGACCUCAUGAAGUCGGAGUCGCUAGUAAUCGCAGAUCAGCAACGCUGCGGUGAAUACGUUCCCGGG